CCACGAAAAGGCAAACCUGCUGCGAGGCAGGGACGCAAAGCCAUGGGGCCCCCGAGGUCCGCCAGGCUGCCGAAC
This 75-nucleotide non-coding RNA is filed under the name Cellulomonas cellasea. Its description in RNAcentral is "c-di-GMP sequence". It matches the Rfam family "c-di-GMP-I riboswitch aptamer". Rfam says of the family: GEMM was predicted in a large-scale screen for bacterial structured RNA regulatory elements. Lineage: Bacteria; Bacillati; Actinomycetota; Actinomycetes; Micrococcales; Cellulomonadaceae. The record is from RNAcentral.